AGCUGAGUGGCGCAGCGGAAGCGUAAGUUCUCACUUCGAGAAAUCUGUACCCAUGAACCGUACCUAACAUUCACACAGGCGCCGGGCUCAUAACCCGGAGGGCAAUGGAUCGAAACCAUUCUCAGCUA
RNAcentral lists this transfer RNA (128 nucleotides) under Cladosporium sphaerospermum UM 843. RNAcentral's name for it is "tRNA-iMet (CAT) (tRNA-iMet-CAT-3-1)". The record is from RNAcentral. Lineage: Eukaryota; Fungi; Ascomycota; Dothideomycetes; Cladosporiales; Cladosporiaceae.